GCGAUGUGAUGGAACAACCGGCGAUUCAGCGGGCGUUGCUGUUGCUCGAUGAUGCGUUAGAGUUGUGUUAUGACGUG
Molecule: transfer RNA, 77 nt
Filed under: Yersinia intermedia
Lineage: Bacteria; Pseudomonadati; Pseudomonadota; Gammaproteobacteria; Enterobacterales; Yersiniaceae
Description: tRNA-Ser(gct)
Source: RNAcentral